CCUACGGGGUGCAGCAGUGGGGGAUAUUGCACAAUGGGGGAAACCCUGAUGCAGCGACGCCGUGUGUGGGAAGACGGUCCUCUGGAUUGUAAACCACUGUCCCCAGGGACGAAGAUGACGGUACCUGGGGAGGAAGCUCCGGCUAACUACGUUCCAGCAGCCGCGGUAAUAGGUAGGGAGCGAGCGUUGUCCGGAAUUACUGGGUGAAAAGGGAGCGUAGGCGGGUAUGCAAGUUGGGGGUCAAAACUAGCGGCUCAACUGGUAGUCGCACGAAAAACUGCAGCUAUUGAGUGAAGUAGAGGCAGGCGGAAUUGCUGGUGUAGCGGUGAAAUGCGUAGAUAUUAGGAGGAACACCAGUGGCGAAGGCGGCCUGCUGGGCUUUUACUGACGCUGAGGCUCGAAAGUGUGGGGAGCAAACAGGAUUAGAUACCCCAGUAGUC
Molecule: ribosomal RNA, 440 nt
Filed under: uncultured bacterium
Lineage: Bacteria
Description: partial 16S ribosomal RNA
Rfam family: Bacterial small subunit ribosomal RNA
Source: RNAcentral